This 219-nucleotide unclassified non-coding RNA is filed under the name Hevea brasiliensis (rubber tree). The record is from RNAcentral. Lineage: Eukaryota; Viridiplantae; Streptophyta; Magnoliopsida; Malpighiales; Euphorbiaceae.
UUAACAUCUUUUCAAAUUACUCCUUUAUUUUAACUUUUAAUCCACUUGAAUUUCAUGGUGAAAAUGUUAUCUACCUAAUGAUCCCUCUCAAGAGAAUAAAGUCAACAUUCCUUAGUGCUCAGGCUUUCCUGUUUUGCAAGGGUUAGGAGAGAGCUGUCUAUCAUACACAACCUUCCACCUGCUUUUUAGGCAUAAAGGCUGUUUCCAUGCCACCAAGAG